Molecule: ribosomal RNA, 253 nt
Filed under: uncultured bacterium
Lineage: Bacteria
Description: partial 16S ribosomal RNA
Rfam family: Bacterial small subunit ribosomal RNA
Source: RNAcentral
UACGACGGGGGCUAGCGUUGCUCGGAAUCACUGGGCGUAAAGCGCACGUAGGCGGCUUGCUAAGUCAGGGGUGAAAUCCUGGAGCUCAACUCCAGAACUGCCUUUGAUACUGGCGACCUUGAGUCCGGGAGAGGUGAGUGGAACUGCGAGUGUAGAGGUGAAAUUCGUAGAUAUUCGCAAGAACACCAGUGGCGAAGGCGGCUCACUGGCCCGGUACUGACGCUGAGGUGCGAAAGCGUGGGGAGCAAACAGG